RNAcentral lists this microRNA precursor (87 nucleotides) under Ciona intestinalis (vase tunicate). Its description in RNAcentral is "miRNA (ENSCING00000018369.1)". The record is from RNAcentral. Lineage: Eukaryota; Metazoa; Chordata; Ascidiacea; Phlebobranchia; Cionidae.
UGUGUAUAUUAUAUAUAUAUAUACGUGUGUGUGUGUGUGUGUGUGUGUAUGUAUGAAACAUAGUGUGCAGAUAUCUGAUGCAUUAUA